ACAACCAUCCUAUUUGAUCAUCCCCCUAAAAUAGCACAAACCAUAUGAAACAAGUGGAGCUGUGGACCCUGUCUUGGAGAGCAUGCAUGAGUAAUUAAAUAAUGUGCCCUUCUGCCACUGUUUUUGCAGGGAAGGGGAUUAAAAUCUGUGUUCACAGGCAGAGAGCAGGUGUCUGUGACGAGAUCUCAUGCUGUGACAUGCAUGCAGCACAUUCUUACAUGAAAAGCCCUGGCUGAUGAAAUGACCACAGGAAGACAACAUGGAACCCUCCUGGCACGAUCAGAAGCUUAAUUAAGUUUCUAAAGACCUUUUGUCAGGAGCAUAGCAAGGAACUUCAGUCUGGCUUUUGAAAGUGCUGAACACCCAAAACUCCUGUUAAGAUCCGGGAACUACAGCUGCAACAGAAGGGACUCAGCAAACAUUUAAAACAACUGUAUUUGUCAUGACCAUAAAAUUAAAGAGGCUAGAAUUCAAAAUGCUGGUGAGAACGUCAGGUUCACUAUUCAGAGAAGGAUGUUAAUGUGGGACGUGGCUCACAUGCCACACAAGCAAAGGUAAGGAAACUCUCGUCCUGAAUUUGCCUGAGAUGCUGAAUAGAACUGGAUGACCUCUCACACAGCAAGUCAUUCUGUUACACAUUUGUUUGUUGCAAGGUCAGGCUAAUUUUAUUCUCCAUUUCGCAUUGCUUUAAUCUAAACAUUGGAAGAGAUGAUGUUGGGGUAAAAGUCUCAGGAGACUGUGAGCAGCAUAUGGACUGUUUCACUUGAUAAACCAUAGAACCACCCCCCUGCAAGUGGGCAGGGAUGGAGUAAUUCUUCUACCGAAGUUGUUAAGAUAUCCUUGCAUCCCACGAGUCAGUAUCCUUGGUAUGUAAUUUCACUGAGAAGUCUGUAGGUAAGAUGCCUAUGGAAAUCAUU
Cuculus canorus (common cuckoo) is the source of this 917-nucleotide long non-coding RNA. RefSeq lists it as uncharacterized. The record is from RefSeq and is a predicted model, not a curated record. NCBI's taxonomy places the organism in Eukaryota, Metazoa, Chordata, Aves, Cuculiformes, Cuculidae. The transcript is spliced from 3 exons.